AACGCUAGCUACAGGCUUAACACAUGCAAGUCGAGGGGCAGCGGGAUUGAAGCUUGCUUCAAUUGCCGGCGACCGGCGCACGGGUGAGUAACGCGUAUCCAACCUUCCGUACACUCAGGGAUAGCCUUUCGAAAGAAAGAUUAAUACCUGAUGGUAUGAUGAGAUUGCAUGAUAGCAUCAUUAAAGAUUUAUCGGUGUACGAUGGGGAUGCGUUCCAUUAGGUAGUAGGCGGGGUAACGGCCCACCUAGCCAACGAUGGAUAGGGGUUCUGAGAGGAAGGUCCCCCACAUUGGAACUGAGACACGGUCCAAACUCCUACGGGAGGCAGCAGUGAGGAAUAUUGGUCAAUGGGCGGAAGCCUGAACCAGCCAAGUAGCGUGCAGGAUGACGGCCCUAUGGGUUGUAAACUGCUUUUAUACAGGAAUAAAGUUAGCCACGUGUGGUUAUUUGUAGGUACUGUAUGAAUAAGGACCGGCUAAUUCCGUGCCAGCAGCCGCGGUAAUACGGAAGGUCCAGGCGUUAUCCGGAUUUAUUGGGUUUAAAGGGAGCGUAGGCCGUCUGUUAAGCGUGUUGUGAAAUGUAGAUGCUCAACAUCUGAAUUGCAGCGCGAACUGGCAGACUUGAGUGUGCGCAACGUAGGCGGAAUUCGUGGUGUAGCGGUGAAAUGCUUAGAUAUCACGAAGAACUCCGAUUG
This 694-nucleotide ribosomal RNA is filed under the name uncultured bacterium. RNAcentral's name for it is "bacterial SSU rRNA". It matches the Rfam family "Bacterial small subunit ribosomal RNA", at positions 32 to 715 of the family's 1533-position model. The record is from RNAcentral.